This 746-nucleotide ribosomal RNA is filed under the name uncultured bacterium. Its description in RNAcentral is "bacterial SSU rRNA". It matches the Rfam family "Bacterial small subunit ribosomal RNA", at positions 60 to 789 of the family's 1533-position model. The record is from RNAcentral.
AGUCGAGGGGCAGCGGGGCGGCAGGCUUGCCUGCCGCCGCCGGCGACCGGCGCACGGGUGAGUAACACGUAUGCAACCUGCCCGUGGCAGGGGGAUAAGCGGGGGAAACCCCGUCUAAUACCGCGUAACGCGGCCUAGGGACAUCCCAAGGCCGCCAAAGGGAGCAAUCCCGGCCACGGAUGGGCAUGCGGCGCAUUAGCUAGUCGGCGGGGUAACGGCCCACCGAGGCGACGAUGCGUAGGGGUUCUGAGAGGAAGGCCCCCCACACUGGUACUGAGACACGGACCAGACUCCUACGGGAGGCAGCAGUGAGGAAUAUUGGUCAAUGGGCGCGAGCCUGAACCAGCCAAGUCGCGUGAGGGAGGACGGCCCUACGGGUUGUAAACCUCUUUUGCCGGGGAGCAACGGGCGCCACGUGUGGCGCCACUGAGAGUACCCGGAGAAAAAGCAUCGGCUAACUCCGUGCCAGCAGCCGCGGUAAUACGGAGGAUGCGAGCGUUAUCCGGAUUUAUUGGGUUUAAAGGGUGCGUAGGCGGAUCGUUAAGUCAGUGGUCAAAUUGAGGGGCUCAACCCCUUCCCGCCAUUGAAACUGGCGAUCUUGAGUGGAAGAGAAGUAUGCGGAAUGCGUGGUGUAGCGGUGAAAUGCAUAGAUAUCACGCAGAACCCCGAUUGCGAAGGCAGCAUGCCGGCUUCCUACUGACGCUGAAGCACGAAAGCGUGGGGAUCGAACAGGAUUAGAUACCCUG